GCUCGCACCCCCUCCCCUCCUCUCCCGCCCACCUGGCCCGCCCCGCCCCCCUUUCCGAUCCCUCCCCUCCUCCGGGACCCCGGGCGCGCCCCAGCCGGCCCCCGCACCUCGCUGACGGCCCGCCGAGACAACGCGCCCCCUCUUCCCGCUCCGGUGGCUGAUUUUCGGAGGAGAGGAAAUUUCACUUUUUCACGGCCGCCGCCGACCCCGCCCCUGCCUUCAGCCCCAUCCCCUUCCCGAGCAGGGCUGAUUUCUACCUCCUGGUGCGGGUGUCUGGGGAGGCGGUGUUGCCAUGGUUUGCCUUGACCUUGGCAAAGGAGGGGAGGGAUAUUGCCCUGGCUUAAGCUACGUUUGAGCUUCCUCGGGUUUCCUUGGCUCCCUGGACCCAGCCCUCGGUGAUAUCAUUUGCCACAUUUUCCUUGGGUGAGCCUGGCUUUCCCGCCUGAACGUAAGUUACCCAGGGGCUGACACCUGGCCUCAUUCAUAUGUGUACCCCCAAAGCCUAGCCCAGAGCAGGUGCAUGAUCAAUUCUUAGUGCCAGGCAUGGCUCUAAACCCCAAGCACGGAUUGCCUCACUUCGACUCCCCUGUUCCUCGUGAGGAACACGAGCUUUUAGUCACUUUGGUUUGGUGAGUGUCAGGUAAAGAAGAGAAUCACCCAAGAAUGUGUCAUAGGAGGACUGAGACCGAGUUGGGACAGUCGAAAAGAAUGAACCCAGAAUACAGUUUUAUUCGUUUGGUUUUGGUUAAGUCAAACCGUGAAACACGGAAAAUACACAGACUGUACCAUUCACAGGAUGAACAGCCACUUGCAUUUGUCCAAAAUGUGUAAUACACAACCACGGCAGAAGAGGAAAGGAGGCAUUCAGAGAUACGCAAUACAUCGUUUCAUUGGAUCCUGGGUUUUACUAUUGCAGAAGACUGGCAAAAUGGGAAACAGAAGACCACAGGGCAGUGAGAGAUGUAUUUAUACAACACGGCAUAAAAAAAUUAUGCUUUG
Molecule: long non-coding RNA, 999 nt
Filed under: Lynx canadensis (Canada lynx)
Lineage: Eukaryota; Metazoa; Chordata; Mammalia; Carnivora; Felidae
Description: lncRNA (ENSLCNG00005006827.1)
Source: RNAcentral